ACAUUACAAGACGAAAAGGCGACGGUUGAGCGAUCGAGAAAAGAAAGGCGAUCCUUGCCCUUGUCCCCCUCUCUCCUGAGAGAAAGAUCUGCUUUGGCUCCUUUCCACCUCCGUCACUCUAUCUGCUCCCAAAUCUUCAUUGCUCUUUCAAAGAACCGAGAAGGUGGAACGAUUUAGGCCCGAGGUGAAGGAUGGUUACGUUUUAUCGUUCGGAAGUCCGAUCGAUUUAGCUUUGUUUUUCUUUUCUUUUUCUGUUUCAGUAUAAUCUAACCGAGGGCAUAGAGUUCGGUUGUUGUUCAGGUCUUCUUGUCAUCUGACUCUUUGAAUUAGGGUUUAUAUUUCUCUCUCUCUCUCUCUCUCUCUCUCUCUCUCUCUGAUUCAUUUGGGGGUUUGGUCAAUUUUUAAGAGUACGCGUUAUUUUCUUCCGAGGCCGACAGUUUAUGGGGGUUGUGAAUUUUGAUCCGAUCGGAUAUCCAUCUCUUCUUUGGGAUUCCAAUGAGUAAUAGGAGCAAGAUCCCGGAUUUCAGAUUAAAGAAAAUGGAGAUUUGUAUCAACAUGGGGAGGUUUAUAAAAGCAACAUUGUUGGUGAAAGGAUUAUGUGUCUGUUAUGUGUCUGAUCUCCUUGCUUGUGGCAUUGAACUAUCUUCACCAUAUCGGACAAAGUGGCCCUUUUGGGAGAAAGGAUGUUGCAAUCAACCUUUUUACCAGGAUGUUUUUUGACAUCCAGACAUUUUACAAUGUGGUGGUUGAGGAGCUACCACCAAUGUUGUAAACUUGUCGAAGAUUCUCUUGGGUUAUUCUGGCGUAUAAAGAGACUCGUCAAUUGCCAGUGUAAAUUCCAUCUGCCCGGAUGGUUGCCCAAACCCAUAUAUCACUCUUCCUUCUUUGCGUAGUUGCAGCAGCAAGGUCGUCUUUCUCCCUUUUUGUCAAGCUUUUCUGGUUCUACAUGUUUUCUUUGAUUUUGUUUUUUUUUCUUGGUUUAAUUGUUGGAGGAUUCAUGCAUUAUAGCAAUUACAUUUUUCGUUGGUUGUCCACUUAUUAUUGAGAUUUGUGCUAAAUCAAAUGCAUAUAUGCUAUGCAUUGACCGCAUUAAUCAUGUCCUGAAUGUUUUGGUCCAGCAUGAUGUGCACAUUAAAUUGCUGAUUUUUUUUUGGUUGACUUGGAACUUUUGCGUCACAAGGUCCGUUUGGGCACACGCUCAUGAAGUCUCUGAUGCUUCGAACCAAUUGUUCUUUAAUUGUAUAACUAUACACACACACACACACACACACACACACACACACACACACACACACACACACAUAUAUAUAUAUAUAUAUAUAUAUAUAUUCCAAUCUGUUACUCUUAAGAAGAUUUUUUUUGGCAAUAGAGACACAUUUUCUAACUUAAGUUGAAUAUACUUUUUUUUUUCCUAUUUUCUGAGUUGUCUGAGCUUGGAAUGAGACUCCACUUUGGUUAAUGUGGUUGGAUCCCAACCAUUGAUACUGUACCAAUACUGAUUUGUCCUAUUAUUUUCACCAUUGUUGCCAUCGUCACGAUCAUUAUAGUGGAUGCCAGUGAUAAGCACUGGAACUAUUAUCCACAUUUUACCCCUUUUUUUUUCUUUACGAAUAUCUUCCUACCUAACGGCUAGCACGCUCGUCUUUUAUCCAUCUGUCUCUGCUGCUGUUAACAUAUUGACCCCAUGCCUCAGAAAUGUCGGUGUUGAUUCACUCGGUCUGACUGGUGAACACCCUCACCCAACCGCCAAACCCCAGUGAGUGGUCCUCAAGAUUCGUGACUCGCACAUGACUACAGAUAGUAGGAGAAGCCUGUCGACCCACCCCCUUCCCUCUACUUACAGCUUCAUGAGUUGGCUUCCUCGAUCGUUCUUUUGGUAAGGGAGACGAGAGCAAGAAACCUCGAAGCCAUCAUUCCACCCCGACCUCCCCUCUCAUCUCCACCUCCUCUGCCCGCUUCCUCACUGUCGAUUCGCCACCGUCGCUCUCAACGGCGAUGGUGUUACGUGUAGUGCGAUCGCCACCGUGGCCCUAAGCCGCUAUCUUCUUCCGCUGCAGUCAGACGAUCCUAACAACUAUUGAGAGACCACGUAUCUAGGGUCCAAAUCAUGUUCGCCUGGGGCGAUUGCCGGUCCGCCACCGUAGUUCUUGGUUUUCGGUUGAUGCCCAUGACUCAUUAAUGUGAGAUGUUUCUCUUAUGUAAUCUUCGGCGCUUUCAAUCCAUUGUGCCUAUUCUUUUCGGUUUUGUUUUUUAUCUUGGAUCUUAAAACGAUAUAGUUCUUGAUCUGUUUUAUCUAUUAUUUUCUCGAAAUUGGAUCUUGAACUAAUGGAGUUUUUCAUCUGUUUGCCUCUUUGUUUCUCAAUUUCUAUUUGAUUUUGCCUCUUAUUUUCAGUUUUGUUAUUGAUCUUGGAUCUUUAUACGAUAUAGUUCACGAUCCGCUUUGUCUAUUAUUUUCUUGAUUAUGAAUCUCGAACUGAUGGAUUCUGUGAUCUGUUUGCCGCUUCGUUUCUCUAUUUCUAUUUGAUUUUGCCUCUUCUUUUCAGCUUUGUUCUUGAUCUUAGAUCUUAAGACGAUAUAGUUCUUUAUCUGCUUUGUCUAUUAUUUUCUUGAUUUUUGAGAGUUUUUUAUCCGUUUACUUAUUUGUUUCUUGGUUACCAUUUGAUUUUGCCUCUUUUUAUUAGCUUUGCUUUUGAUAUUGGAACUUAAAAUGACUUGAUCUGCUUUGUCCUUUUUUUCUCUCUAGAUCUUGAACGAAUAGGGUUUGUUUCUUUGAUAUUUCUGUAUCUCUGUGUAGUUUGUGAUUUUGGAAUUUUGAACUAUGAGUUUCUUUAUCUGUUUGCCUCUUUGAUCUGUUUCCGUUUUAUACAGCUUUCCAUCUUCCACUUGAAUAACUAAUCGUUCUGUGUAUAGAGAAAGGGAGUGUGAAAGAGACAGGGAGAGAGCGUAGCAAGCGAGGUAGAGGUGGGACGAAGAAUUAGGAAGUAAGACGAAAAGUUGUGUGAACCAGGUGGGGUAAAGUAACUUAAUUAGUGAUUUGAAGCUUUGAUAUAGCCAGAAGAUAUCACGUGAUCCGCAUCAGAAUGAUGGUUUUUCAAUCUCACGUGGCUGAGGAGGUCUAUGAGGAGCCAAAUGGACUGCGAAGAAGGAUCUGCUCCUCCCCUCUCUUAACCAGAUGGUAAGGCGACAUGUUUCUCUACUCAACCUUCGUUCUUCUCUUUCAAUCCUUCUUGUAUUCUUUUCUAGAAUCGCCGAUGAUGUUGAGAUCCGUCAUGUUUCAAUGGGACUUGUAUAGCCGAUCGAAAUUCUUGGAAGAGCCAAACGAAGUGCGAAGAAGUAUCUCCGCUACUUUCCUCUUCAACAAUAUUAUUAGACUACGUGAUUCUCUACUGAUCCUUUGUUGUCACCUGUCAAUCUUUCUUGAAUGCUUCUUCAGAAUUGCCGAAGAUGUCGAGAUCUGUUCUGUUU
This is a long non-coding RNA of Musa acuminata AAA Group (dessert banana), 3465 nucleotides long. RefSeq lists it as uncharacterized. The record is from RefSeq and is a predicted model, not a curated record. NCBI's taxonomy places the organism in Eukaryota, Viridiplantae, Streptophyta, Magnoliopsida, Zingiberales, Musaceae. The transcript has 2 exons.